Molecule: ribosomal RNA, 370 nt
Filed under: uncultured Lactobacillus sp.
Lineage: Bacteria; Bacillati; Bacillota; Bacilli; Lactobacillales; Lactobacillaceae
Description: bacterial SSU rRNA
Rfam family: Bacterial small subunit ribosomal RNA
Source: RNAcentral
CUCCAUGUGUAGCGGUGAAAUGCGUAGAUAUAUGGAAGAACACCAGUGGCGAAAGCGGCUCUCUGGUCUGUAACUGACGCUGAGGUUCGAAAGCGUGGGUAGCAAACAGGAUUAGAUACCCUGGUCAGUCCACGCCGUAAACGAUGAGUGCUAAGUGUUGGAGGGUUUCCGCCCUUCAGUGCUGCAGCUAACGCAUUAAGCACUCCGCCUGGGGAGUACGGUCGCAAGACUGAAACUCAAAGGAAUUGACGGGGGCCCGCACAAGCGGUGGAGCAUGUGGUUUAAUUCGAAGCAACGCGAAGAACCUUACCAGGUCUUGACAUCUUCUGACAAUUCCAGAGAUGGAACGUUCCUUCGGGGACAGAAUGAC